This is a long non-coding RNA of Salvia splendens (bonfire salvia), 371 nucleotides long. RefSeq lists it as uncharacterized. NCBI's taxonomy places the organism in Eukaryota, Viridiplantae, Streptophyta, Magnoliopsida, Lamiales, Lamiaceae. The record is from RefSeq and is a predicted model, not a curated record. The transcript has 3 exons.
AAAUUGGAGUUGAUCUUGCUUUGUCUAAAACUGACGAUCACGAUAUCAGGAUGUGUGGAAAGAAUUUUUCUUUGAGUCAGAUUAAAGAGCUGUGUGCCUAUCUAUUGCAUUUGAGGCGACUGAGAUGAUUCAAAAUAUGCUCGUGUUACACUUAGUUGAUCUAACGGCCUCUCUAAGCAUUCAGAUUCAUUCUUGCAAAUGUUAGCUCUUGUGCAACUAAGGUGCUUUCCGUGAUAGUUCCUCGUGCAAAAAUAAACUAGAAUUUCUUAGUCAAUCUGAAGGCCAAGGCCCAACUACGUGGAGAUCACUUCUUCAGCGUAGUUUAAAACGCGCCGCGCAGGUGGAAGAGCAAGAUCUGGGGACGGCGGCCC